UCCCUGGCAGUCCAGUGGUUAGGACUUGGUGCUUUAACUGCCAAGUGUGCGAGUUCAAUCCCUGGUCAGGGAA
Molecule: transfer RNA, 73 nt
Filed under: Bos taurus (domestic cattle)
Lineage: Eukaryota; Metazoa; Chordata; Mammalia; Artiodactyla; Bovidae
Also listed under: 2 other names
Rfam family: tRNA
About the family: Transfer RNA (tRNA) molecules are approximately 80 nucleotides in length. Their secondary structure includes four short double-helical elements and three loops (D, anti-codon, and T loops). Further hydrogen bonds mediate the characteristic L-shaped molecular structure. tRNAs have two regions of fundamental functional importance: the anti-codon, which is responsible for specific mRNA codon recognition, and the 3' end, to which the tRNAs corresponding amino acid is attached (by aminoacyl-tRNA synthetases). tRNAs cope with the degeneracy of the genetic code in two manners: having more than one tRNA (with a specific anti-codon) for a particular amino acid; and 'wobble' base-pairing, i.e. permitting non-standard base-pairing at the 3rd anti-codon position.
Source: Rfam by way of RNAcentral